CACGGGGUCCCGCGGGUGCGGGGCGCCGUCGGGGCGCUGGAGCUGAUGCGGAGCUAAGGCCAGCUGCUGCUGGCGCGCUGCACCGGGGGCUUUUUUUUUUUUUUUUUUCCUCCCCUUUUUGUUUUUUCGCUUGAAGCAGCCUGCCCUGCCCAGCCAUUCAGGGCAAGGAAGCCUUCCCGCUGCCCGGAGGUGCCGGCGGCCGCUUGCCCCGGGGCACAGCGCUGCUCCCCGCUUCUCCGGGCGGCACGAGCCGUUUUGCAGCGCGUUUCCUUGCGGGUCCCGGCCGGUGGUCGGCGGCGGAACAGCGGAGCACGCUUCCCCCCCCCGGGCAAGGCAAGGCAGCGGCUCCGCGCCUUUCUCCCAGGGAAGAAACCCCCGCCCCGGGACAGGCUUCUCAGCGCCGGCCGCGACCGUGCGGCUCUGCGGCCACAGGGUUAUAUUUGACCCAAGAUAAGGCACCCUGGGACUUGUGCACACGGUGGUUACCCUGGGUAAAGUGGUAACAAGUGGUGGGACUUGGACAAGCAAUAUGAGGAGACUGCCAGUAAUUGCUCAUCAACAUGCUGAAGUGCGUGAAUUGGAGGUAGCCCUGACCAGAUGGUGGAUUCUGUUCGGAGCAGUCUUCCAGUGAAGGGUGUGAUUGAAAAGGAAGCUGAGAAGACGACGGUAGAUUGUACUUUCUAUGCUGAGAAGCAUGGACAGACUCAUCCUAUACACAAUAGACAGAGGAUAGGGCCAGGAGUCCCAGAAUGUGUUUUGGAAAAGGGAGAAAGAUCUACAGUCUGAGAAGGUGUGGAUACAUUCAGCUACAAAGAUGAAUAUGAGUAGAGUCUCUGAGAAAUGGAUAUGGCAAUAUUUCAGAGAAAAA
This is a long non-coding RNA of Apus apus (common swift), 868 nucleotides long. RefSeq lists it as uncharacterized. The record is from RefSeq and is a predicted model, not a curated record. NCBI's taxonomy places the organism in Eukaryota, Metazoa, Chordata, Aves, Apodiformes, Apodidae. The transcript is spliced from 4 exons.